This 750-nucleotide ribosomal RNA is filed under the name uncultured Lachnospiraceae bacterium. RNAcentral describes it as "bacterial SSU rRNA". It matches the Rfam family "Bacterial small subunit ribosomal RNA", at positions 28 to 776 of the family's 1533-position model. The record is from RNAcentral. Lineage: Bacteria; Bacillati; Bacillota; Clostridia; Lachnospirales; Lachnospiraceae.
GAUGAACGCUGGCGGCGUGCUUAACACAUGCAAGUCGAACGGAGUUUAUACGGAAGGAGUCUUCGGGCAACGGAAGUAUAAACUUAGUGGCGGACGGGUGAGUAACGCGUGGGUAACCUGCCUUAUACAAGGGGAUAACAGAGGGAAACUUCUGCUAAUACCGUAUAAAAAUAUUUCACGCAUGUGAGAUAUUUGAAAGAUUUAUCAGUAUGAGAUGGACCCGCGUCUGAUUAGGUAGUUGGUGAGGUAGAGGCUCACCAAGCCGACGAUCGGUAGCCGAUCUGAGAGGAUGACCGGCCACAUUGGGACUGAGACACGGCCCAAACUCCUACGGGAGGCAGCAGUGGGGAAUAUUGGACAAUGGGGGCAACCCUGAUCCAGCGACGCCGCGUGAGUGAAGAAGUAUUUCGGUAUGUAAAGCUCUAUCGAUAACGGAAGAAGAUGACAAGCCGUUAAGGAAGAAGCCCCGGCUAACUACGUGCCAGCAGCCGCGGUAAUACGUAGGGGGCAAGCGUUAUCCGGAUUUACUGGGUGUAAAGGGAGCGUAGACGGCAAAUAAAGUCUGAAGUGAAAUCCCGCAGCUCAACUGCGGAGUUGCUUUGGAAACUUAUAAGCUGGAGUGUCGGAGGGGUAAGCGGAAUUCCCAGUGUAGCGGUGAAAUGCGUAGAUAUUGGGAGGAACACCGGAGGCGAAGGCGGCUUACUGGAAGAUAACUGACGUUGAGGCUCGAAGGCGUGGGUAGCAAACAGG